Molecule: ribosomal RNA, 253 nt
Filed under: uncultured bacterium
Lineage: Bacteria
Description: partial 16S ribosomal RNA
Rfam family: Bacterial small subunit ribosomal RNA
Source: RNAcentral
UACAGAGGGUGCGAGCGUUAAUCGGAAUUACUGGGCGUAAAGCGCACGUAGGUGGCUUUGCAAGUCGAUUGUGAAAUCCCCGGGCUUAACCUGGGAACUGCAGUCGAGACUGCUCUGCUUGAGUAUGGGAGAGGGAGGUGGAAUUUCCGGUGUAGCGGUGAAAUGCGUAGAUAUCGGAAGGAACAUCGGUGGCGAAGGCGACCUCCUGGACCAAUACUGACACUCAAGUGCGAAAGCGUGGGGAGCAAACAGG